CCUACGGGUGGCAGCAGUGGGGAAUAUUGCGCAAUGGGCGAAAGCCUGACGCAGCGACGCCGCGUGAGGGAUGAAGGUCUUCGGAUCGUAAACCUCUGUCAGCAGGGAAGAACGGUCACUGUGCUAAUCAGCAGUGAAUUGACGGUACCUGCACAGGAAGCACCGGCUAACUACGUGCCAGCAGCCGCGGUAAUACGGAGGGGGCGAGCGUUAAUCGGAAUUACUGGGGGUAAAGCGCUCGUAGGCGGUAUGUCAAGUCAAGGGUGAAAUCCCCGCGCUUAACGGGGGAACUGCCUUUGAAACUGGGAGACUGGAGUGUGUGAGAGGAUAGUGGAAUUCCAGGUGUAGGGGUGAAAUCCGUAGAUAUCUGGAGGAACAUCAGAGGCGAAGGCGACUAUCUGGCACAUAACUGACGCUGAGGAGCGAAAGCGUGGGUAGCAAACAGGAUUAGAUACCCGUGUAGUC
RNAcentral lists this ribosomal RNA (465 nucleotides) under uncultured bacterium. RNAcentral describes it as "partial 16S ribosomal RNA". It matches the Rfam family "Bacterial small subunit ribosomal RNA", at positions 338 to 795 of the family's 1533-position model. The record is from RNAcentral.